This 334-nucleotide ribosomal RNA is filed under the name Ligilactobacillus murinus. RNAcentral describes it as "bacterial SSU rRNA". It matches the Rfam family "Bacterial small subunit ribosomal RNA", at positions 69 to 377 of the family's 1533-position model. The record is from RNAcentral. Lineage: Bacteria; Bacillati; Bacillota; Bacilli; Lactobacillales; Lactobacillaceae.
AAACUUCUUUAUCACCGAGUGCUUGCACUCACCGAUAAAGAGUUGAGUGGCGAACGGGUGAGUAACACGUGGGCAACCUGCCCAAAAGAGGGGGAUAACACUUGGAAACAGGUGCUAAUACCGCAUAACCAUAGUUACCGCAUGGUAACUAUGUAAAAGGUGGCUAUGCUACCGCUUUUGGAUGGGCCCGCGGCGCAUUAGCUAGUUGGUGAGGUAAAGGCUUACCAAGGCAAUGAUGCGUAGCCGAACUGAGAGGUUGAUCGGCCACAUUGGGACUGAGACACGGCCCAAACUCCUACGGGAGGCAGCAGUAGGGAAUCUUCCACAAUGGGCG